Molecule: long non-coding RNA, 3660 nt
Filed under: Olea europaea subsp. europaea
Lineage: Eukaryota; Viridiplantae; Streptophyta; Magnoliopsida; Lamiales; Oleaceae
Source: RNAcentral
GUUUCUUGCCUCCAAAAUUUGUAUUAUUCUUCUCCCUCGACGUUCUGCCCUACUUCUGAUAAAUUUUGGCUUUUAUAUCAUGUCCUCACUGAGCUCCGAAAGAGUUUCAAUUAAAAACGGAAGUUCAGAUUUUUUUUUCGAAAUUAAGGCCAUGCGGCCGCAUGGUUCAAUUUUUUUGCUCAAUUAAAACCCUGCUACACCAUGUGCGGCCGCAUGGUAUAGUUACAUGCGGCCGCAAGGUUGUAAAGUUACAACCUUGUCAUUUUGGUCCCUAAACUCCGUUUUCUCUUUUCUUGAUCUCUUUUCUUUCUUUCCUUUGUUCCAUUAUCAAAUAUUGACUCCUAAUUGAUGUUUGGGUNGUUAGACGCAGCAAACGGGAAAGGACAGAAAAAUCUUAUGGUCCUGAUUUUCUGACCUAUAUGCUAAAAAGUGAACCUCAAAGUUAUCAAGAAGUAGUGAAUUCCUCGAAAAGACCUCAAUGGAAAGAAGCCAUUGAAAGUGAAAUAGAUUUCAUACUGCAAAAUCAUACAUGGGAGCUAGUGGAUCUUCCUCCAGGAAACAAACCACUAGGCUACAAAUGGAUUUUUAAAAAGAAAAUGAAAGCAAAUGGAACUGUCGAGAAGUAUAAGGUCAGAUUAGUAAUUAAAGGCUACAAACAAAGGGAAUAUCUUAAUUACUUUGAUACGUAUUCUCCAGUGAUGAGACUAACAUCUAUUAGGAUGAUACUUGCGAUUGCCGCUUUGCGAAAUCUUGAAGUACAUCAAACGGAUGUUAAAACUGCCUUUCUAAAUGGAAAUCUAGAAGAAGAAAUUUACAUGGAACAACCUAAGGGGUUUUCGUCACCAGGAUAGGAAAAGAAAGUCUGUAAACUGGUGAAGUCACUAUAUGGCUUAAAAUAAGCACCAAAACAAUGACAUGAAAAAUUUGACAAUGUCAUGAUUGAGAGUGGAUUUAAAAUCAAUGAAUGUGACAAAUGUGUUUACGUCAAAGAUACUAAAGAUAGAUAUGUCAUCUUAUGUCUUUAUGUUGACGACAUGCUUAUUAUUGAUAGUGACAAUAAGAUGAUUGACUCCACUAAAAAUAUGUUAAACUCGAGAUUUGACAUGAAAGAUAUGGGUUUAGCUGAUGUUAUACUUGGAGUGAAAAUCUCAAGAUCAUCAAAUGGGCUUGUUCUAAAUCGGUCACAUUAUGUGGACAAAAUUUUAGGAAAAUUCCAUAAGGAUGAUACUGGCUUGGUUAGAACACUAAUAGAUACGAGUCAACAUCUGUCUAAAAACAGAAAAGAAAGUAUCUCUCAAGUAGAAUACUUGAGAGUUAUCGGAAGUCUAAUAUACUUAAUGAGUUGCACUAGACUAGACAUAACCUACACAGUCAGUAAACUAAGUAGAUACACGAGUAAUCUAGGAGCUGAUCACUGGAAAGGAAUCGUAAGAGUACUGUUUACGAAAUAAUUCUUUCGAUUUAAAAUUACCGCAAGUGUACGGUUCGUAACAAGUAAUAAAGUGGAUUUUUUAAAAGUCCGAAUAUCGUCCCUCAGAGAUUGAGUAGUUCAAUUCUAUAUAAUCUAGCCUUAACCGAAUCUAAUUGAGUGAGAAUAUAGUCUAAAUGCAAAAAGUCCUAAUUUCAAUUAAAAACCCUAAUUUUAACUAAAAACCCUAAUUUCAAUUGAAAACCCUAAUUUCUCAAUUAGAAACCCUAAUUUCAAAAUUUCUCUAAUUAAACGACUUAAACACUCAAGUAAAUUAAAUUAAGCAAGUUUAAAAGCUAAUUUAUUAAAAUGAAUUAAACUAAAGUCACUAGGAUCACGAAUCCCCAAUUGAAGUUAUAAAAACCCUAAUUUUAUAAAAUUAAUGAUUCGAUGAAAAUUUGCCAAUUCAAUGUUCCUAAUUUUAUCCAAUAUACUCUCUCGAUAUAUAUUAGACCUAUUCUUGCAUACCACCAGCCUAUAUCUCUAUGGAUGAUGCAAACAUACAAGAAUGCAUGUAGUUUUGUGAACAAUUUAAGAAUUGCAUAAAGCAUAGGGGUAUAUCUCUAUCCCCUAUCGGACCCUAUGUUAAUUUACACUUUAUCGAACCUAUUCCACUUCUCUCGAAUGUAAAAAAUAAGUCAUCAUUACUCACACAAUCAUUGGCCACUAAUUGCGGAAGAAAAUUAAUGCAUGUAAAUCAAUUAAAUUAUCCAAACGAGUCUUUAUAUUAAAUUCAUGAAAUAUAGAAUUAAAAUAACAAACAACGGUUCAUCGAUCACCUAGUAAAUAAAAACUUAGCCUAGAAGAUUCAUAAUUACAGAAAAAAAGAAAUUAAUAAAUUGAAAGAAUAACACCCGUAUGGAACUUCUUGAAAUAUGAAAUCUUGAAUAAAACCUUGAAAACCCACUUGAAUCCUUAUGAAAUCGGCUUCAAGUUCAUGUUUCUUGCCUCCAAAAGUUGUAUUCUUCUUCUCCCUAAACGUUCUGCCCUACUUCUGAUGAAUUUUGGGUUUUAUAUCAUGUCCUCACGGAGCCCCGAAAGAGUUUCAAUUAAAAACGGAAGUUCAGAUUUUUUUUCGAAAUUAAGGCCAUGCGGCCGCAUAGUGUUAAACCAUGUGACCGCAUGGUUCAAUUUUUUUGCUCAAUUAAAACCCUGCUACACCAUGUGCGGCCGCAUGGUAUAGUUACAUGCGGCCGCAAGGUUGUAAAGUUACAACCUUGUCAUUUUGGUCCCUAAACUCCGUUUUCUCUUUUCUUGAUCUCUUUUCUUUCUUUCCUUUGUUCCAUUAUCAAAUAUUGACUCCUAAUUGAUGUUUGGGUCAAUCAAUUCCUUGAUCAUUUGCUCGGCUCAUCUUUUGAUUAAUUGUAAUUUAGUCCUUCAUCUUUCACUUUUCUUUAAUUCAGUCCAAUGUUACUUCUUUCUUCCUCCAAUCAUUUUGUAUCGUCCUCAAUCUCAUAUUUGGUAUAUUUUCAUUCUAAUUCUACGCUUUAGCUCAACUUUCCAAUAUUUGCACCUUUGGUCCCCGAACUAUCGCUUUGUUCCGUUUUGGUCAUUUUUCGGCUCUUUUCUUCUGAAUUCCAUCUUUUCCAUAGAAACACUUACAUUGCAUGAAUUUAACAAGAUUAAGUCACAAUUCAACUACUUUGUCCAUAUUUAAGUCCUGUUUGUGAGCUAAAUAAGUGUGUAAAAACACACUUAUCAAGUACUAAGGUAUUUAAGAUAUACUCGUGACUAUGGACUACAUUAUACUAGAUAUCCAGCAGUCAUUGAAGGAUACAAUGAUGCUAAUUGGAUAUCUAAUAUAAAAGGCUCAAAAUCCACCAGUGGAUAUGUGUUCACAUUGGGUGGUGGUCAUAUAGUGGAAAUCCUCUAAGCAAACGAUUAUAGCCAAAUCUACGAUGGAAUCUGAGUUUAUAGCUCUAGAUAAAUGUGGUGGAGAGGCUGAAUAGUUGCGCAACUUCUUAGACGAUAUUCCAACAUGGUCAAAACCUGUGCCAGCAAUUUGCAUAUAUUGUAAUAGUCAAUUGGCAAUAGGAAGGGCACAGAGUAACAUAUAUAAUGGUAAGUCUAGACAUAUACAUCGUAGACACAAUACCAUAAGACAACUACUCUCAACUGGAGUUAUUACUAUUGACUAUAUAAGGUCAAAAGAUAACAUUGCGGAUCCGCUAACCAAAGGGUUAAAUAGAGAG